This 88-nucleotide ribosomal RNA is filed under the name Victoria amazonica (Amazon water-lily). Lineage: Eukaryota; Viridiplantae; Streptophyta; Magnoliopsida; Nymphaeales; Nymphaeaceae. The record is from RNAcentral.
UCCCAUCAGAACUCCGCAGUUAAGCGUGCUUGGGCGAGAGUAGUACUGGGAUGGGUGACCUCCUGGGAAGUCCUCGUGUUGCAUCCCC